AAAUGAAAAACAUUUCCGUAAAAACGAAAUGAUGAUGAAAGUUCAACUGAAAAAUAAAGUGACGGGUCAGUAGAUUCAUAGAUCAGCAGUUCACAGGUGUAAAAAAGUAAAAAAUAUAAAAGUAUAAAAAAAUAUCAAAUAUAAAAGUAAAUCUGUGUGUGUGUGUGUGUCAGCUCAUUCUCAGCCGGUCAGUGGUGUGUCGUGUUCUCCUGUGGACGAGUCCCUCUUCCUGUCGUGUGCUCAGGAUGGACGGCUUUUGCUGUGGGAUACACGGAAACCCAAACCUGCCUCUCGUCUGGAAGUGGUGUCUCCGAGCUGCAGCCCCACCGCCGUCGCCUGGCAUCCUCACCAGAGCAGCUCCAUCGCAUACGGUGAUGAACUGGGUCGAGUGACUCUCAGGGAUCUGCAGACUUCUAACGGCGUGCGGACGAUAAACGCUCA
Molecule: long non-coding RNA, 441 nt
Organism: Puntigrus tetrazona (Sumatra barb)
Lineage: Eukaryota; Metazoa; Chordata; Actinopteri; Cypriniformes; Cyprinidae
Exons: 4
Source: RefSeq, a predicted model, not a curated record